AGAGUUUGAUCAUGGCUCAGGAUGAACGCUAGCGGCAGACUUAAUACAUGUGAGUCGAGGGGCAGCGGAUCCCUCCGGGGAUGCCGGCGACCGGCGAACGGGUGAGUAACACGUAUGGAACCUACCCUUAACUGGGGAAUAGCCUUGAGAAAUCGAGGGUAAUACCCCAUAUCAUCUGAAAGAGGCAUCUCUUUCAGAUGAAAGCUCCGGCGGUUAAGGAUGGCCAUGCGGUCCAUUAGCUUGUUGGUGAGAUAACCGCUCACCAAGGCUACGAUGGGUAGCUGAUCUGAGAGGAUGAUCAGCCACAUUGGCACUGAGACACGGGCCAAACUCCUGCGGGAGGCAGCAGUAGGGAAUCUUGGUCAAUUGGCGAAAGCCAGAACCAGUCAUGCCGCGUGCAGGAUGAAAGGCCCUACGGCUCGUAAACUGCUUUUAUUCGGGAAGAAAAAGUCUGUUUCCACAGACCUUGACGGUACCCGAUUGAAUAAGGACCGGCCAACUUCCGUGCCAGCAGCCCGCGGUAAUACGGAGGGUCCAAGCGGUUAUCCGGAUUCACUGGGUUUAAAGGGUGCGCAGGCGGCCAAGUUAAGUCAAGUGGUGAAAGCCUUCGGCUCAACCGGAGAACUUGCCAUUGAAACUACUUUGGCUUGAGUGCAGCAGAGGUAGGCGGAAUGUCAGCAUGUAGCGGUGAAAUGCUUAGAUAUGCUACAGAACACCGAUAGCGAAAGCAGCUUACCACACUGUAACUGACGCUGAGGCACGAAAGCAUGGGUAGCAAACAGGAUUAGAAUACCCCUGGUUAGUCCAUGCCGUAAACUUUGAACACUCGGAGUUUGCCACCUAGUGGAAGCUCCUAGCGAAAGCGUUAAGUGUUCCACCUGGGGAGUACGGCCGCAAGGCUAAAACUCAAAGGAAUUGACGGGGGCCCGCACAAGCGGAGGAGCAUGUGGUUUAAUUCGAUGAUACGCGAGGAACCUUACCCGGGCUAUAAUGCCUGUGACAGCUCUGGAAACAGAGUUUUCCUUCGGGACACAGUGCAAGGUGCUGCAUGGCUGUCGUCAGCUCGUGCCGUGAGGUGUUGGGUUAAGUCCCUUAACGAGCGCAACCCCUAUCUUUAGUUGCCAGCACUUUCAGGUGGGCACUCUAAAGAAACUGCCUACGUAAGUAGAGAGGAAGGAGGGGAUGACGUCAAGUCAUCAUGGCCCUUAUGCCCGGGGCUACACACAUGCUACAAUGGUGGGUACAAAGGGAAGCCACUUGGCAACAAGGAGCUAAUCCCGAAAAGCCCAUCACAGUUCGGAUUGGAGUCUGCAACUCGACUCCAUGAAGCUGGAUUCGCUAGUAAUCGUGGAUCAGCAACGUCACGGUGAAUACGUUCCCGGGCCUUGUACACACCGCCCGUCAAGCCAUGGAAGUCGGGAGUACCUGAAGCCAGUAACCGUACAGGAGCUGGUGAGGGUAAGCCUGGCAACUGGGGCUAAGUCGUAACAAGGUAACC
Molecule: ribosomal RNA, 1498 nt
Filed under: uncultured bacterium
Lineage: Bacteria
Description: 16S ribosomal RNA
Rfam family: Bacterial small subunit ribosomal RNA
Source: RNAcentral